Molecule: ribosomal RNA, 403 nt
Filed under: uncultured Clostridium sp.
Lineage: Bacteria; Bacillati; Bacillota; Clostridia; Eubacteriales; Clostridiaceae
Description: bacterial SSU rRNA
Rfam family: Bacterial small subunit ribosomal RNA
Source: RNAcentral
GGGGAAUAUUGCGCAAUGGGGGAAACCCUGACGCAGCAAUACCGCGUGAGUGAAGAAGGUUUUCGGAUUGUAAACUUCUUUAGUCAGGGACGAAUAAAUGACGGUACCUGAAGAAUAAGCCACGGCUAACUACGUGCCAGCAGCCGCGGUAAUACGUAGGUGGCGAGCGUUGUCCGGAAUUACUGGGUGUAAAGGGCGUGUAGGCGGGAAUGUAAGUCAGAUGUGAAAUCCCAGGGCUUAACUCUGGAGCUGCAUCUGAAACUAUGUUUCUUGAGUGUCGGAGAGGAAAGCGGAAUUCCUAGUGUAGCGGUGAAAUGCGUAGAUAUUAGGAGGAACACCGGUGGCGAAGGCGGCUUGCUGGACAAAUACUGACGCUGAGGUGCGAAAGCGUGGGGAGCAAACA